GACGAACGCUGGCCGCGUGCUUAACACAUGCAAGUCGAACGGAAAGGCCCUGCUUUUGUGGGGUGCUCGAGUGGCGAACGGGUGAGUAACACGUGAGUAACCUGCCCUUGACUUUGGGAUAACUUCAGGAAACUGGGGCUAAUACCGGAUAGGAGCUCCUGCUGCAUGGUGGGGGUUGGAAAGUUUCGGCGGUUGGGGAUGGACUCGCGGCUUAUCAGCUUGUUGGUGGGGUAGUGGCUUACCAAGGCUUUGACGGGUAGCCGGCCUGAGAGGGUGACCGGCCACAUUGGGACUGAGAUACGGCCCAGACUCCUACGGGAGGCAGCAGUGGGGAAUAUUGCACAAUGGGCGGAAGCCUGAUGCAGCAACGCCGCGUGCGGGAUGACGGCCUUCGGGUUGUAAACCGCUUUCGCCUGUAACGAAGCGUGAGUGACGGUAAUGGGUAAAGAAGCACCGGCUAACUACGUG
RNAcentral lists this ribosomal RNA (468 nucleotides) under uncultured bacterium. Its description in RNAcentral is "partial 16S ribosomal RNA". It matches the Rfam family "Bacterial small subunit ribosomal RNA", at positions 28 to 507 of the family's 1533-position model. The record is from RNAcentral.